This is a small nucleolar RNA of Amaranthus tricolor (Joseph's coat), 89 nucleotides long. RefSeq annotates it as small nucleolar RNA snoR26. The record is from RefSeq and is a predicted model, not a curated record. NCBI's taxonomy places the organism in Eukaryota, Viridiplantae, Streptophyta, Magnoliopsida, Caryophyllales, Amaranthaceae. The transcript has a single exon.
GGAGCAUCAAUGAUGAGUAAACCUUGUUAUCCUUGCACAUUGAUUCGUAAAUGAUGAAAAUUAAUAGGUGAAAUUAAAUCCGAGAUGCC